Molecule: ribosomal RNA, 492 nt
Filed under: uncultured bacterium
Lineage: Bacteria
Description: bacterial SSU rRNA
Rfam family: Bacterial small subunit ribosomal RNA
Source: RNAcentral
GGCUCAGGAUGAACGCUAGCUACAGGCUUAACACAUGCAAGUCGAGGGCAGCGCAGUGUAGCAAUACAGUGGGCGGCGACCGGCGCACGGGUGCGUAACGCGUAUCCAACCUUCCCGUUACUCUUGGAUAGCCUUCCGAAAGGGAGAUUAAUACAAGAUGGUAUCAGAAUUUCGCAUGUUAUUCUGAUUAAAGAUUUAUCGGUAACGGAUAGGGAUGCGUGACAUUAGAUAGUUGGCGGGGUAACGGCCACCAAGUCAACGAUGUCUAGGGGUUCUGAGAGGAAGGUCCCCCACACUGGAACUGAGACACGGUCCAGACUCCUACGGGAGGCAGCAGUGAGGAAUAUUGGUCAAUGGCCGAGAGGCUGAACCAGCCAAGUAGCGUGAAGGAUGAAGGUUCUAUGGAUUGUAAACUUCUUUUAUACGGGAAUAACAUCACCUACGUGUAGGUGCCUGCAUGUACCGUAUGAAUAAGCAUCGGCUAACUCCGUG